AUGUGCAGCUCUGUUAUUGCUCAACUGCAAUCCUCAGGAGUUCCUGAAAGUACGGUGCAGGGUUUAGUUGGUUCAAUGGAGGAACUGGUCGAUGACAUCCAUGCCCAUGCAAAAGAAACCGUUGUUGAAUGUUUUUCAUCUGAAGCAUCCGGAGACACAUUGAAAAAAGUUCAGGAUUGUUUUGGUCAGCUUGAAAAUCCAUUUUCAUCUCUUAACACAGAAUCGAAACGAAAGAAGCACUUAGAAGAAAAAUGGAAAAUAGUGGAACCAGUGGAGUAUAUUCUUGGUGUGCAUUUUGAUACACGCAGAGAUAGAACAACAGGAACAUAUAGGCAAGUUCCUGUAAACGACAAGUUCAUGUAUGUACCCAUCAUGGGGUCUCUUUCAUCUAUGUUUAGGAACAGGGAACUUUCUAACAGUUUCCAAAAAACUAAACCACACCAGGAGGGUUUUUACAGAGAUGUAAAUGAUGGCUCAUACUUCAGGAACCACAUUUUAUUCUCACAACAAGAAAAUGCUUUGCAGAUACAGCUCUACUACAAUGAUUUUGAAACUGCUAAUCCAUUAGGCUCAAAAAAGGGAAUUCACAAACUUGGCUGCAUUUAUUUUAUUUUGAGAAAUCUUUCCCCAAAGCUUAAUUCUGUGUUGAUGAACAUACAUCUUGUUGCCCUCUUUCACUCGGAGGAUUUAAAGAAAUAUGUGUUUGAUCCCAUUCUAAAGCCACUUCUCAAUGAUUUAAAGAUUUUAGAGGCUGAUGGAAUGCAGGUGCCCUUUCAACCCACACCUUUGAAAGGUUCAGUUUUUCAGGUUACAGGUGACAACUUGGCUAUACAUGGCCUUUUUGGUUUUGUCGAAUCGUUUAGUGCAAAGUACUGUUGUCGCUUUUGUUUAACUGAAAAGGGAGAGAUGCAAUCAGUUUUCAGUGAAGAUCAUACAGGUUUAACUCUACGUUCUAAAGCCCUUCAUUCAGAACACUGUGCUGCCGUUGAACAAAAUCCAGCUUUGGCCUCAACAUUUGGUGUGAAAAAAGCAUGUCCUCUCAAUUCCCUCCAGCUGUUCCAUACGUCAGACAACUACGCAGUAGAUAUAAUGCACGAUCUACUGGAAGGAGGGGUGCAGUACGAGUUAAAGCUGGUGUUUCGGUACUUGAUGAAGAACUCAAUAAGCUCAUUAAGCUCAUUGUCAGAAAGAAUCAUGAGCUUUAACUAUGGAUUUACACAGAGAAAAAACAGGCCAAGUGGGGUAAAACUGGACGAUGAUAGCAACAAUUUUGGCCUUAGUGCUGUUCAGUCAUGGUGCCUCUUGCGCAAUACCCCAUUGAUGUUUGGAGAUUUAGUUAAGAGGAAUGAUAGCUGCUGGAACUUGCUGCUCCUCUUAAUACAAAUCGUCAACAUUGUCUUUUCACCUAUUGUAACCCAUGGUAUGACUUGCUAUUUGAAACAUCUGAUUUUCGAUCAUCACAAGCUUUUUAAAUCUGUCUUUCCAGAGCGAAAUCUGCUUCCAAAGCACCACCACAUGAUACAUUACCCAAGGUGUAUUAGAAAGAUUGGGCCACUAUUACACAUGUGGUGCAUGAGGUUCGAAGGCAAGCACAACUUUUUCAAAAGGUCUGUGAAGAACUUUAAAAACAUCACAAAAACACUGGAAAAGAGACAUCAGAAUCAGUUGGCUUUUCAUUUUUGA
Gadus morhua (Atlantic cod) is the source of this 1683-nucleotide long non-coding RNA. NCBI's taxonomy places the organism in Eukaryota, Metazoa, Chordata, Actinopteri, Gadiformes, Gadidae. The record is from Ensembl.